Molecule: ribosomal RNA, 396 nt
Filed under: uncultured bacterium
Lineage: Bacteria
Description: bacterial SSU rRNA
Rfam family: Bacterial small subunit ribosomal RNA
Source: RNAcentral
UAAGGAAUAUUGGUCAAUGGACGCAAGUCUGAACCAGCCAUGCCGCGUGAAGGAUGAAGGUCCUCUGGAUUGUAAACUUCUUUUAUCUGGGACGAAAACGGGAUUUUUAUCUCAAUUGACGGUACCAGAGGAAUAAGCACCGGCUACCUCCGUGCCAGCAGCCGCGGUAAUACGGAGGGUUCGAGCGUUAUCCGGAUUUACUGGGUUUAAAGGGUGCGUAGGUGGGCUUAUAAGUCAGUGGUGAAAUCUCCGAGCUUAACUUGGAGACUGCCGUUGAUACUAUAGGUCUUGAAUGAUCUGGGGNUAGGCGGAAUAUGUCAUUUGGCGGUGAAAUGCUUAGAUAUGACAUAGAACACCAAUUGCGAAGGCAGCUUACUACAUAUAAAUUGACGCUGA